UUUUUUCCGCGCGAUAGAAGAGUUCUGGUUAGACCAAAAACAAAAUGAAGAAAAAGAAAAAAAGUGAUUGUCGUGUUUAAGCAGAAAGCGAGAGAAAGGUGCCUGGUUUUGUUUUGAUAAGAUCGACUUUGUAGCUUGAGUGGGUGCAGGUUCGUAAGUUUUCUCCUUUCUGCUGCUAUUGCGUUUGUUAGUUUUUGUGUGGUUUGGCUUUUGAUUGGGUCUUUUAUUGUCGGCGGUUUUGAAUUUUUAUGGGUUUUUGAUUGGGUCUUUUGCUGUGAGGAAGAAGAAGACCUGCACUAGCUGCUAUAUCCUUUCAGUAUAUAGGCGAAUCGAGCUUCAUCUUCGCUGUUCUGUGUGAUCAAAUUUUGCCAUCGACGUCAACCUUGGUGGGAUUUUAAUUAGAUGUGAAGGAAGUAUGAGUUUUAAAAUUGAAGCUGAAGCAGCAGAGGAUAAGGGGUCAAGGCACAUCAUGAUAAUUGGUUUUGUUUAUUAUGCUCACUGUUUAGGUCUGAUGUAGUAUUGUGAAUGAAGUAUUGUUGGGAGGUGUUUCGUAAAGUUUCGAAAUUUGAAUGUUAAGGUGUGCAGAUUUUGCAAUUCAUGAUGAGCUUGGAGGUUGAUUAGCUGCAGAAUAUGCUAAGAAGGGUUUGCAUACAUGUGAGUUGCAUUACCAUUUGAUUGAGAAAGCUGUCGAGAAAGCCAUUCUGCAUGGUGAAUGUAUUUGAGUUUUGAUUACAAGGGCUAUGGCUGGUUGCUUCUUAUGAAUUAGCAAGUCUAAAGCAUUUUUUAGUGGAUAAAUAAGUGGAUGGUGCACUUCAGCAACUCAGCUUCAACAUUUUUCGAUAGCUUCUGCAAUGACCAUAAAAUUCCUACAAGAUCUACAGAGAUUGGAAGCAGGAAAAAGAGUACAUCAACACAAUUAAUGAUCUGUGAUUGUAGUUACAGUUGCCACUGAUUUUGGAGUGAAACCUACUUUUGCUCUUUGGGUUUAACAUAAACAUACUACCACGCCUACUACGUAACAUUAAAAGAUCAAUUGUAUUACAACUUUAACUAUCAUAUAACAAUGAUUCCCGCAGCAAAGCGCGGGCUUACUUUCUA
This is a long non-coding RNA of Rosa chinensis, 1098 nucleotides long. RefSeq lists it as uncharacterized. Lineage: Eukaryota; Viridiplantae; Streptophyta; Magnoliopsida; Rosales; Rosaceae. The record is from RefSeq and is a predicted model, not a curated record. The transcript is spliced from 5 exons.